This 438-nucleotide long non-coding RNA is filed under the name Gallus gallus (chicken). Its description in RNAcentral is "long non-coding RNA NONGGAT006799". Lineage: Eukaryota; Metazoa; Chordata; Aves; Galliformes; Phasianidae. The record is from RNAcentral.
CUCAUUUGUUUCAAUAUUUAAUUGCAUGUAUUUCAGAAUUACUAGGCAACCCACCCCCAGAUGUGUAAUUGAAAGGUGAUGUGCUUGCAAUGAGAUUUUCAGGAUCUGCUCAGCAGAGCCCCAUCAUGUGAUGCUGGGAUAAGGUGGAGUUCGGCUUUAAGGGGGAGUCUCCAGCCUUCCUCACCAAUCUUUAGCAUCUCAGCUGGAGGCACAUCGGAGGAUCCUUCCCUUUCCCCUAUUCCUUCUCCCUGCAGCCCCCGAGAAGAUCGCGGAUAGGCGGAGCAGUUGCAAGGUCUUGCCAGGGAAAUGUGGCAUCAAGGAGUGGGCUCUGCUGAGGAGCUCCUCGUGGGCUGACUGACAUGUAUCGAAGGUCAGGAGUAGUUUUUGGAUGAGACCUGUGGCAGCUGGGAAUAUUAAACAGCAAGCUGGAAAAAAAAC